UUUUUAAAUGAGAUCUUGUAUGAAUGGUUGAACAAAAGAAAGACUGUCUUUAAAAUAAUAUUUGAAUUUAACUUUUAAGUGAGAAGGCUUAAAUAUUCUAGAGGGACGAUAAGACCCUAUAAAGCUUUAUAUUGUAAUUAUAUUUAAUUGAAUUUUAUAAAUAAGAAUUUAAUUUAAUUGCUAUUAUUGUGUUGGGGAGACAGGAGUAAAAUUAUAGUAACUGCUAUUAAAGUAAACAAUUAUAAAUGAUUUAUUAAGUGAAUGAUCCUAUAUGUAUAUAGAUUAAAAGAUUAAGUUACUUUAGGGAUAACAGUGUUAUUUUUUUUGAGAGUUCAUAUCGAAAAAGAAGUUUGCNNCCNCNAUGUUGAAUUAAAAUGUCUGUAUAAUGUAGAUGUUAUAUGAGAAGGNCUGUUCGACCUUUAAAUUUUUAC
This 431-nucleotide ribosomal RNA is filed under the name Barytelphusa sp. SD-2005. RNAcentral describes it as "partial 16S ribosomal RNA". The stretch from base 306 to 431 matches the Rfam family "Bacterial large subunit ribosomal RNA", at positions 2473 to 2599 of the family's 2925-position model. The record is from RNAcentral. Lineage: Eukaryota; Metazoa; Arthropoda; Malacostraca; Decapoda; Gecarcinucidae.